CGGGUGAGUAACACGUGGAUAACCUACCUAUAAGACUGGGAUAACUUCGGGAAACCGGAGCUAAUACCGGAUAAUAUAUUGAACCGCAUGGUUCAAUAGUGAAAGACGGUUUUGCUGUCACUUAUAGAUGGAUCCGCGCCGCAUUAGCUAGUUGGUAAGGUAACGGCUUACCAAGGCAACGAUGCGUAGCCGAUCUGAGAGGGUGAUCGGCCACACUGGAACUGAGACACGGUCCAGACUCCUACGGGAGGCAGCAGAU
RNAcentral lists this ribosomal RNA (259 nucleotides) under uncultured Staphylococcus sp. RNAcentral's name for it is "partial 16S ribosomal RNA". It matches the Rfam family "Bacterial small subunit ribosomal RNA", at positions 103 to 354 of the family's 1533-position model. The record is from RNAcentral. Lineage: Bacteria; Bacillati; Bacillota; Bacilli; Caryophanales; Staphylococcaceae.